RNAcentral lists this long non-coding RNA (2149 nucleotides) under Physcomitrium patens. Its description in RNAcentral is "long non-coding RNA (PPAT_LNC004210)". Lineage: Eukaryota; Viridiplantae; Streptophyta; Bryopsida; Funariales; Funariaceae. The record is from RNAcentral.
AAUUGUAAAAAUUACGGUAUUAUAAAUGUAAAUUAAAGUCAAUGAGAUAAGUGCAUUUUUACAAUUUCACACACAGAAUAUUUCUAGUAACUACAUUUCUUUCAAUGAAAUAAAUAAGAUAAAGUAACUGGUUUUAAUUUUUAAACAAAAGAAAAUCCACAUAUGUCUUUGUAACAUUCUUCAGUUGACUCCAUGGUAUGACAAGUACACAGUCUGCAACCACUUAAUGGCCUUGAAGUGACCUACACAUGCAUUUUGUGGGAUUUUAAUGCUAAAAAUACAUGUAAUGAGCGGCUACAAUAGUUUGAAACAUGGCACCUCAUAACAUGGGAUUUGUAUGGCAUUAUGGGCAUCAUUGGGCAAUAUUUCAUGGACAAGGUUGGUGAGAUAUGGUGGAUCUUAUGUUAGCAAUAUUUUAUGGUUUGUACACUUCAAAACCAUAAGCAAAAUCGUGAUCUACAUUGACAAAGUAAAGAACACCAAAUAUAACCCAUUGAACAUAAAUGUUGUGAUUAAUCACAAUAAACAUGUGCCAAAGAAAACAAAAUUACAAUGCUGUUAAAAGUUGGAUUGAACAAUUUUUAUUUUAUUUUAUUUUUUAAACUAUACAAGAUUUAAUGAAUCUUUUGAACUAGGUUGAUCAUUUAUGCUCUUACAAUUUUUUAAAAUAAUAUAUUGAUUUUAAAAAUUACAUGUAUAUUCUAUAAGUAAAUUAAUAUCAAAUGUGUAUGUUUACACACACACUUACUCACAAAGACACCCAAAUGCACAAUAAAUUAACCAAUACAACCAUAAUAGUAAUUUCCCCUUCUUUGUUUAAUUAUUGUUUUUAAUUUUCAAUUAUUCUGAGGUUGUGUGUGUAAAAUCAGUGAUUUUCUCGUUAGUUAUGCAUAGACUGUGAGAGGAAAGGUACAAGUUAUAUCUCCCACAAGUCUAAUCAGCGGCCCUAGAUGAUGUAGGACAGUUGAUAAAGUCUUUUGAAUAUUUGGAAAAUCUAGAGAAAAUUCAAGAAAGCGAUUUGCAACUUUCAAUAAUAAUGGAGAAAAACACAACCAGGCUUUUACAUUGAAAAAUAUAUUAUAACAAAUAAAUAAAUAAAUAAAUAAAUAAACCUACAAAUAAAUAGGCUGAGCUGGCAAGCCAAGCAAUCUGGGCUGGAGUGAGUACCUUUCAUUUGGUGUUGCCAGUGGUCCUUUCUUGCCAAGCUUGUGUUAACUUAUGGUAACCCUACAGCUCAUUGUUGACUUCGUUUCCACACCACUCUACAGCACCUCCAAAAAAAAACAUAUAUAUAUAUAUAUAUAUAUAUAUAGAUACCCACCCCACUAUAAAUCUAUUCUAUGCACAAACUUUGCCCAUUCUAAUCAGUGCAAGAACCAGAAAACUGGAUGGUCAAAGUGUUUUACAUUCCAAUCAGAAACUGAAUUGGAUUAAUUCAUCUACAUGUAUGUUUGUGUAGAUUACCCAUAAACAAACUACUCCACUUCGAAGAAAUCCAAUGCGGUGGAUUCAUACCAUGGCGCUGAAGCAUGAAAAAUGUAGAAGAUUCAGAUUACAAGGCUUUUUUUCUGCUUCAGUUGUGGACCAAAGGAAUUCCAAAUCCCCUGCACUAAUUGACAGUUACCUGCGACGUGGUUACAGCAGCACCACACAAAGUGCGUGAGGUCGAAAUCCAACAUCCAGUAGUUGAUUAUUCACAAGAGGGGCUUGAAACCAAAGAACCAGAUCAGUGUGUUUUUCCAAGACAAGUCACGGUGUUGUGUUUUUAGAGUUAGAACGAUGGUGGUUACGCUGGUGAGGUUGCUCUUUUUCGAAGUGGGUUCACCUUGCAGUAAAAAACGCUGAUUCUGUGAGGAAGCAACGGAGGAAAGUCUACACAUACGAGACCAAAGCGACAAAAUCAUCGAGCCAGCCCCCGGCUUAGAAGAAUCUACUGUAGAGAUUAUAUCUUGGCCCUAGUACCGUGUACCGAUUCGGGUUAGGAAUGCCCCCACUUUAGUAAUCAAUAAAGCUCCCCAGCAAAUAGUGACACAGGGGCGCUUUUUCUCUUGCUUUAAGCAGUUUAUUUGAUUGCAAUAAGCUGAUGAAACCGCAACGUGAUCCCUCACGAAGCUCACACAACUUCUGCAGGGCGAGGAUCAGACCCACU